UACGUAGGUGGCAAGCGUUAUCCGGAAUUAUUGGGCGUAAAGCGCGCGUAGGCGGUUUUUUAAGUCUGAUGUGAAAGCCCACGGCUCAACCGUGGAGGGUCAUUGGAAACUGGAAAACUUGAGUGCAGAAGAGGAAAGUGGAAUUCCAUGUGUAGCGGUGAAAUGCGCAGAGAUAUGGAGGAACACCAGUGGCGAAGGCGACUUUAUGGUCUGUAACUGACGCUGAUGUGCGAAAGCGUGGGGAUCAAACAGGAUUAGAAACCCGGGUAGUCC
This 273-nucleotide ribosomal RNA is filed under the name uncultured Staphylococcus sp. RNAcentral's name for it is "partial 16S ribosomal RNA". It matches the Rfam family "Bacterial small subunit ribosomal RNA", at positions 524 to 796 of the family's 1533-position model. Lineage: Bacteria; Bacillati; Bacillota; Bacilli; Caryophanales; Staphylococcaceae. The record is from RNAcentral.